GACAGAGGUGCCGAGCGUUAGGCGGAAUCACUGGGCUUAAAGCGUGUGUAGGCGGAUGCCUAAGUACCUUGUGAAAUCCCACGGCUCAACCGUGGAACUGCUGGGUAUACUGGGCGUCUUGAGCCAACUAGGGGCGACCGGAACAAACGGUGGAGCGGUGAAAUGCGUAGAUAUCGUUUGGAACGCCGAUGGUGAAAACAGGUCGCUGGGGUUGUGCUGACGCUGAGACACGAAAGCCAGGGGAGCGAACGGG
RNAcentral lists this ribosomal RNA (253 nucleotides) under uncultured bacterium. RNAcentral's name for it is "partial 16S ribosomal RNA". It matches the Rfam family "Bacterial small subunit ribosomal RNA", at positions 524 to 776 of the family's 1533-position model. The record is from RNAcentral.